Molecule: long non-coding RNA, 1717 nt
Filed under: Olea europaea subsp. europaea
Lineage: Eukaryota; Viridiplantae; Streptophyta; Magnoliopsida; Lamiales; Oleaceae
Source: RNAcentral
CUUGUAUUUCAUUCGGUAUCAUUUGUUCAAUCCUAGUGUCUUUCUUUUCCCAUCAAUAAACAAUUUAUAUUCCAUUUCAUAUAAUCAGUUACUUCCAGUUGAAGUAAUCUGGUUAAUAACUUUGCAAGGUAGUCAGUCAAGCAAUAAAAUCAUUAUUCAUCCUUAGAAAAUCCCAGCAAUCGCAGGGUCCUAUCAAAUUGGUAUCAGAGCCAUCGAUUCUUGGACAAAUGCAAACAAACUUCAGAAGCGAUUGGGAGGAGAGAUGGAGUUCCGUAUUCAAUCAGUUGGAGAAGAUGGUAUGCAACAGGAAGCCAAUCGAGACAAUGCUUCAGGGCUAGAUUCAUACGACCGACUCAAUACAUCGAUAUUCUAUGGCUAAAACUCAAAUGAGUGGAUGUCGGAGGCGGAGAAGAUUUUUUCUAAAAAUUGGUUGUCGGAAGUGGAGAAAACAGAGGUUGCUGUAGCUUAUUUUGACUGGCAAAUAUGGUAUGAGCAGUUAGAUCAAUUACAACCGGUGCGUACAUGGGAUGAAUUGAAGGUGUUGGUGAUGGCUCGAUUUCAUGAGAAACAUAUCUUCGUUGGUGAACUUUCAAACUGGAAUCAGGGGGAUAAGUUGAACUGGGAGACCGCACAAGAAGAACAGCGCGGUAAAUUGCACGUGUCUCCAUCCCCGUCACCGGUGGAGGAGAAAUUCCAAUGCACGAAAGAGGAGGGGCAAGCAGCAAGCUUGCUUGAUGCUACUAUUAAUUUUGAAAUUCCGCCCAAAUAUGAGAAAAGUGGAGCAAGUAUAGACGGUUGGAACCACCAUGUUGGAACCACCGUGUGGUAGGAACAGGGAAGAUGCAGACGCGAAGCCCGAGACUGGACAAAUUAUUGGAGAAUUUAUCGGCACCAUUGUUGGCGAGAUCAGAGGAGAUUCUGGAAGGAAAGGGCGACAAUAGGUGCAAUUCACUAAUACGAGCUGAAGUCCCAAUGCUUAUCCCUCAAGGUUUGGGCCAGAACAGUGAGUUGGCCCACAGGGUUGAAGAUUGGCAAGUAAGGAAUCAAGCCCAUCUACUUUAUGGCCCAUCUAAAGCUAAAAUUAAUACCGGGAAAAUUACCUGGAAGCCUAGAUUUAAAAACAAGUUUUCAUAAAUAAAGAGGUUUAAGUUUAAUUUCAUAAUUCAGGUGGUAAUUAAUUAUUAAAUUAAUGUUAGAUUAAAUAAAUGUAUUCACCCAACACGCCACACCCAAAUUACCCAAUCUCUCUCUUGUCCCCCCCACCCCCCUAUCUCUCUCUCUCUCUCGUAGUUCGCUGACUCCGACGAAUACCUCACGGCGACUUCACCUGAAGACAUAGCAACGCUAAUCGCCGCCUCACAGCUAUGGUUUGCAUCUCCACUCACGAUCGGGGUUGUUGAAGGGCUUGAAAAUUUUGGGGAGGUGGUGAAACCCUAAUCAUCUUCUCUCUCUACAUUCUCUCUAUCACAAACUACCACCGGCAACGCUCAAGAUGUCGCCACCACCGGCAACGCUCACGGUGUCGCCACCGCUGGUAUGUGAUUUUGGGUGGUUGCGGUGCCUUCGUCGCUGGUGUGUAGAGCGUUUAUACGGUGGUGUCUAGAUUGAGAUUUGCAGUUUGUUGCAGUUAACUUGAUUUUUGCAUCAUAUUUUUGCAACUCGCUGGAAAGAUGUCAAGUUGUGCUAAAAAAAAAAAAGGUUGUUCUUGUUGUAUUAG